GACGAACGCUGGCGGCGUGCUUAACACAUGCAAGUCGAGCGGUAAGGCCCUUUCGGGGGUACGACGAGCGGCGAACGGGUGAGUAACACGUGGGUGACCUGCCCUUAGCUCUGGGAUAAGCCUGGGAAACUGGGUCUAAUACCGGAUAUGACUCCAUGACGCAUGUUGUGGGGUGGAAAGCCUUGUGCGGCUAGGGAUGGGCCCGCGGCCUAUCAGCUUGUUGGUGGGGUGAUGGCCUACCAAGGCGACGACGGGUAGCCGGCCUGAGAGGGCGACCGGCCACACUGGGACUGAGACACGGCCCAGACUCCUACGGGAGGCAGCAGUGGGGAAUCUUGCGCAAUGGGCGAAAGCCUGACGCAGCGACGCCGCGUGAGGGAUGACGGCCUCGGUUGUAA
This 398-nucleotide ribosomal RNA is filed under the name uncultured bacterium. RNAcentral's name for it is "bacterial SSU rRNA". It matches the Rfam family "Bacterial small subunit ribosomal RNA", at positions 28 to 428 of the family's 1533-position model. The record is from RNAcentral.